UACGGAGGGUGCAAGCGUUAAUCGGAAUUACUGGGCGUAAAGCGCACGUAGGCGGCUUAUUAAGUCGGUUGUGAAAGCCCCGGGCUUAACCUGGGAAUUGCUUCCGAUACUGGUAAGCUAGAGUACAAGAGAGGGUGGUGGAAUUUCUAGUGUAGCGGUGAAAUGCGUAGAUAUUAGAAGGAACAUCAGUGGCGAAGGCGACCGCCUGGCUUGAUACUGACGCUGAGGUGCGAAAGCGUGGGGAGCAAACAGG
RNAcentral lists this ribosomal RNA (253 nucleotides) under uncultured bacterium. RNAcentral's name for it is "partial 16S ribosomal RNA". It matches the Rfam family "Bacterial small subunit ribosomal RNA", at positions 524 to 776 of the family's 1533-position model. The record is from RNAcentral.